UGCCAGCAGCCGCGGUAAUACGGAGGGGGCAAGCGUUGUCCGGAAUCAUUGGGCGUAAAGGGCGAGUAGGCGGGAUAGUAUGUCUGAGGUGAAAGUUCGAGGCUUAACUUCGAAAUUGCCUUUGAAACUGCUAUUCUUGAGUGUGAGAAGGGAAAGCGGAAUUCCCGGUGUAGCGGUGAAAUGCGUAGAUAUCGGGAAGAACACCAGUAGCGAAGGCGGCUUUCUGGCUCACAACUGACGCUGAACUGCGAAAGCGUGGGGAGCGAACGGGAUUAGAUA
Molecule: ribosomal RNA, 279 nt
Filed under: uncultured bacterium
Lineage: Bacteria
Description: partial 16S ribosomal RNA
Rfam family: Bacterial small subunit ribosomal RNA
Source: RNAcentral